Molecule: ribosomal RNA, 484 nt
Filed under: uncultured bacterium
Lineage: Bacteria
Description: partial 16S ribosomal RNA
Rfam family: Bacterial small subunit ribosomal RNA
Source: RNAcentral
AUUGAACGCUGGCGGCAGGCCUAACACAUGCAAGUCGAGCGGUAGAGAGAAGCUUGCUUCUCUUGAGAGCGGCGGACGGGUGAGUAAUGCCUAGGAAUCUGCCUGGUAGUGGGGGAUAACGUUCGGAAACGGACGCUAAUACCGCAUACGUCCUACGGGAGAAAGCAGGGGACCUUCGGGCCUUGCGCUAUCAGAUGAGCCUAGGUCGGAUUAGCUAGUUGGUGGGGUAAUGGCUCACCAAGGCGACGAUCCGUAACUGGUCUGAGAGGAUGAUCAGUCACACUGGAACUGAGACACGGUCCAGACUCCUACGGGAGGCAGCAGUGGGGAAUAUUGGACAAUGGGCGAAAGCCUGAUCCAGCCAUGCCGCGUGUGUGAAGAAGGUCCUCGGAUUGUAAAGCACUUUAAGUUGGGAGGAAGGGCAGUAAAUUAAUACGUUGCUGUUUUGACGUUACCGACAGAAUAAGCACCGGCUAACUCUGUG